RNAcentral lists this small nucleolar RNA (128 nucleotides) under Capsella rubella. Its description in RNAcentral is "Small nucleolar RNA SNORD14". It matches the Rfam family "Small nucleolar RNA SNORD14". Rfam says of the family: U14 small nucleolar RNA (U14 snoRNA) is required for early cleavages of eukaryotic precursor rRNAs. In yeasts, this molecule possess a stem-loop region (known as the Y-domain) which is essential for function. Lineage: Eukaryota; Viridiplantae; Streptophyta; Magnoliopsida; Brassicales; Brassicaceae. The record is from Rfam by way of RNAcentral.
GGUCGAUGAUGAAAGAAUAAGAAGGCUUGUUUCUCAAAACAUUCGCAGUGGCCGCCUAAGGGCUUUCGCCUUUCGCCAGGCUUGAGAGCCAAAUGCUGUUCUUUAUCCUUCCUUGGAUGUCUGAGACU